AAUUUUACACUGUUGAUUAUCCAGUUCCAUAAAGCAGCCCACCUUUAACUUUUCCUUUCCCUUUCAUCCAUCGAAGAAGAGCAACUCCCAAUUUCUAGACACUGUUGAGCUUCAAAAGAUCAGUCUUUUUCCUUUUUAGCAACUUUCACUAUUUGUAUCACUAACCCUACUCGCUGCUAGGAUCCGUGGAAGCAAAAUCCUACAAUUUAAAAACUUCUCAAAAACCUUAGAAUUCUCUUCAUCGUAACCUUACUCUUUGCAGAUACUAUCCUCUCAAUUAUUGAGUUAUUUCAUAUGUGAGAUCUGGUUUUCAAUCGGCUUCUCCUUCUUCCAACGAGCCUUCACUUUCCCUUCGUGAGUUUCUCUGUCUUGAUGGAUUUUCAGAAACAAUAUCACAGAUUUGAUCGAAAUCGAUUUUUCAUUCCUCUUCCAUUUAAGGGGUUUAGGCACUGAUAUUGUACAACAUUUUUAUAUUCUCGAUUAAAAUUCAAGAUUUUAAUUUUUAUUAAAUCAUUAAAAUUUGUUCCUCUAAUUUUUCUUUCUCGAGUCUUAAAUUGUGUCUUUGCAUUCUUCUAUGUUCUCGAUGAACAAGAACAUAUGAAGAUUUUUUAUUUGCACUCUACACUAUCUUCUAUUAGCAGUUACUUAUUUUUGAAAGUUGUCUAACUUUCUACCACUCACCCGCCUCUCUGAGUAGCUGAAGGACUUUGUUUGAAGCCCCAAAUUUGGGUACAUAAUAGUGUUCAUCCUUAUCCUAUAUUUUGUGGCUUCAUAUUGAGACAAUGAUAUGACUUUCAAUCAAGUAGUCUUCGAAAUAAUAGUUAAACCACAUAUUAUUAUAUUUGAGAAGAUUUAAUGGUUUCUUGAACAUAGAUUUAAUGACAUUAAGUGUAUGUUUGACUCAUGAAUCAUAUAGCACUGUUGAAUCUCUAUGUAGUUUUAGAUGCUGUUAUUAAAUAAUUCUCAUUAAACUUCAAAGAGUCAUUCUUUGAAGAGUAAAGAACGUUGUUGGGAUUGUUGAAAAUUGGUUGACUAACUAAUUUAUUAACCAAUAUUGAUGUUAUCUUUUCAUAUGCUGAUGUGAUAUGCUAAUUGGGUUUUAGCUUGAUAGUUAGAAUAAUUUUGCAUAAGAGGAUUGGUAAAAUCACUACAAUCAAAUCUCUAUUUUAUGUAAAAUUAUUUCGAUGUUUCGCACUAUUUUAGUCACUUUUAUAGCAAUCUAAUUUCAUCCAAAUAGAAAAUGAAGCUAGCAUCACAUUUAUCAUGAUCAUACUUGGGAUUUUAUUGCUGAAGGGGAGGUUUAUAUUUGAUUUGUUAUCUUUAAGCAUUUAAUUGAUUUUCUUCACUUUUAUAUCCUAGUUUAUAUGUAGAUGUUUAGCUUCUAUAUUUUACCCCUGUUUGGCGGUUGCUUGAUGUUCUUCCUUCAAAAGCUAUAAAUUGAGAGAUUUAUUUGACAACAGAAGGGGAGUCGAAUAGAGUGAAAUCUUGCUCAGAUUUGAUUUGGGGCAUCAAUAAAUUAUCUUUGCUCAAAAUAGUAACUUUAUUCAUUUAUUUUAAUUUUUUGAGUAGCCAUCCGAUGUAGUUGGUAAGGUGUUGUUCGGAGUUCAAAUCUCUGAUGCAAAGCUGAGAGCCUUAAUCAAAGGUAAUGAAAGAGCAAAUUGAUAAAAAAAAAUCCCUUAUUAUGCUAUUUAAUUUCCUUUUAUAGAUAAGUUUGCUAGAUUUGUGUCAUUCUAUAAUAGAUUUAAGUAGUGUUAAUUGAAAGUUGAUAAAUUAAGUGGGAAAGUAGUCUCCUUAUUCUUUUAAGUGAUUUUGAAUCCAAUUGGAGUGCAAAUGUGCACUUGGUAAUUAGUAGUUGUGAUUUAAGUGUAGUAGAGUUCUGCCAAUGUGGUCGGAUAUUCCCCGUUUGGUUUGGGUUUUUUUCUUGUAGUAUUAUGUCUCUCUUGUUUUAGAAACAUUUGAGAAAGUAUAGAGAAAAAGAACAUGUUUAGAAUGAUGUUCAAUCAGCUGAUUUGUAAAGGAACCGGCAAAUAGAAGAAUAGAAAAUAAAGUUACUACAUCAAAUAUCUUUAGGCUCUUGGCUUGUUAUAUCUUUCCUUUGAAGGUCAAAAUUAAAAUAAACCAGUAUUCUUUAGUCAAAAUUAUACAUGAAAUGGCCCGGUAAUCAAUAACAUUCUCCACAUCAACUUGUGAUUUAGAUUUAAGUCAAUUCCUAAGGUUGUUUGGAUACUUUUGUUAAAUAUUUGGUAUGAUCAUUAAAUUCUAAUUAACUAUUGUGUUUACUACUUUUAGGAAACCUUGUUCAGGCUAUAAACUAAAGGAGAUGUCUGGCAACAAAAUUUUGUAGUUGAUGAUGAAAAUGAGGAAUUGGAAUCUAGAACUUCUAAUAAUCGAACAUAUGUGCUUAUUGUGCAGGAAGUUACGAAUGAUACGAGCAAGAUUUCCUUAAAUACGGAAGAGAAGUUUUCUCUUAAGAAGUCAACUACUGUUCCCGAGGUUGUAAUAUAUUAUGUUCUUUAAAUUUUUGCUUUUUCCUUGGUUUGAAAUUGUUCUUUAGUUUGAGUAAUCUCAGUUUGAAUUUUUGUAUUCCCAAAUAUAAUACCACUAUAUGUUUGUCAAAAUCGGAACUAUUUAUUUGUCUAUAAUUCUUAGCCAUAUGUUAUAUGGUUACUUUUCAAGCACAAUUGUUUGCUUAUAUCAUAAAAAUAGAGAGAAUUUGUAUUGCAAAAUUGAUUUUCAUCCUCCGAAGAUGACAAAGCCAACAAUCUGGCUAGGAAGAGGUUAGAUCUCUAUUUCUGGUCGCAGUUUCAGUUUAGUUACUAUUUCUUUUUUUUGUGUUGAAGUCUUCUUAUUUGAUUGUUGACAUACGAGUUUUGCGACUUUAAUCCCGACCGGCAAGUCCAAACUCUAAGACCACUUCAAUAAUUACAUUUAUCCUUGUCUCCCUUUUCGCUUCCACUAUGGCACCACUUUUUCUAAUCCCAUCCACCUACUCUACCAUAUAGGGUUGCAUGUGGACGACAAGCUAAUGUCGAGGAAAUGGGACAAGGGCUGAGCCGUGGACAAUUCCAAGAAAAUGAUCUAUUUGUUGCAGUCCAAAUUGGAGAGCUUGAAACAGUUGAAGCAAAGGCCAAUGAGAACCCAAAUUUGUUGAGAGUGAAAACCAUUCAUAGGAAACUUUCUGCACUGUAUUUUGUUGUUAGGCAGAUCGAGGUGGGUUUUCUGUGAUUUAUGAUUAUUUGUAUUUUCUCAUUUUAUUUGACUUAAGUCUGUACAUUUUGAUCAAA
Olea europaea var. sylvestris is the source of this 3284-nucleotide RNA transcript. RefSeq lists it as uncharacterized. Lineage: Eukaryota; Viridiplantae; Streptophyta; Magnoliopsida; Lamiales; Oleaceae. The transcript is spliced from 2 exons. The record is from RefSeq and is a predicted model, not a curated record.